CUACGGGGGGCAGCAGUUGGGAAUCUUGGGCAAUGGGCGCAAGCCUGACCCAGCGACGCCGCGUGGGGGAUGAAGGCCUUCGGGUUGUAAACCCCUGUCAGGAGGGACGAAGCCCACUCCACGAGGGUGGGUGACGGUACCUCCAGAGGAAGCCCCGGCUAACUACGUGCCAGCAGCCGCGGUAAGACGUAGGGGGCGAGCGUUGCCCGGAUUUACUGGGCGUAAAGCGGGUGUAGGCGGCCGGGUAAGUCCCGUGUGAAAGCCCACGGCUCAACCGUGGGACGUCGCGGGAAACUGCUCGGCUUGAGGGCAGCAGAGGGUGGUGGAAUUCCCGGUGUAGCGGUGAAAUGCGUAGAGAUCGGGAGGAACGCCAGUGGC
Molecule: ribosomal RNA, 378 nt
Filed under: uncultured bacterium
Lineage: Bacteria
Description: bacterial SSU rRNA
Rfam family: Bacterial small subunit ribosomal RNA
Source: RNAcentral